UACGUAGGGUGCGAGCGUUGUCCGGAAUUACUGGGCGUAAAGAGCUCGUAGGUGGUUUGUCGCGUUGUUCGUGAAAACUCACAACUCAAUUGUGGGCGUGCGGGCGAUACGGGCAGACUGGAGUACUGCAGGGGAGACUGGAAUUCCUGGUGUAGCGGUGGAAUGCGCAGAUAUCAGGAGGAACACCCGUGGCGAAGGCGGCACUCUGGGUCGGCCCUGACGCUGAGGCGCGAAAGCGUGGGGAGCGAACGGG
Molecule: ribosomal RNA, 253 nt
Filed under: uncultured bacterium
Lineage: Bacteria
Description: partial 16S ribosomal RNA
Rfam family: Bacterial small subunit ribosomal RNA
Source: RNAcentral